Molecule: ribosomal RNA, 615 nt
Filed under: extreme arid zone bacterium HX-IIF25
Lineage: Bacteria
Description: bacterial SSU rRNA
Rfam family: Bacterial small subunit ribosomal RNA
Source: RNAcentral
CCCUGGUAGUCCAUGCCGUAAACGUUGGGCACUAGGUGUGGGGGACAUUCCACGUUCUCCGCGCCGUAGCUAACGCAUUAAGUGCCCCGCCUGGGGAGUACGGCCGCAAGGAUAAAACUCAAAGGAAUUGACGGGGGCCCGCACAAGCGGCGGAGCAUGCGGAUUAAUUCGAUGCAACGCGAAGAACCUUACCAAGGCCUGACAUUCACCGGACCGCACUGGAGACAGUGUUUCCCUUCGGGGUCGGUGGACAGGUGGUGCAUGGUUGUCGUCAGCUCGUGUCGUGAGAUGUUGGGUUAAGUCCCGCAACGAGCGCAACCCUCGUUGUAUGUUGCCAGCACGUGAUGGUGGGGACUCAUAGGAGACUGCCGGGGUCAACUCGGAGGAAGGUGGGGAUGACGUCAAAUCAUCAUGCCCCUUAUGUCUUGGGCUUCACGCAUGCUACAAUGGCCGGUACAAAGGGUUGCGAUACUGUGAGGUGGAGCUAAUCCCAAAAAGCCGGUCUCAGUUCGGAUUGAGGUCUGCAACUCGACCUCAUGAAGUCGGAGUCGCUAGUAAUCGCAGAUCAGCAACGCUGCGGUGAAUACGUUCCCGGGCCUUGUACACGCCGCCNGU